Long non-coding RNA from Oncorhynchus tshawytscha (Chinook salmon), 299 nucleotides. Lineage: Eukaryota; Metazoa; Chordata; Actinopteri; Salmoniformes; Salmonidae. The record is from Ensembl.
GUCCUGCUAGGUGUCGUGUCCUGCUAGGUGUCGUGUCCUGCUUGGUGUCGUGUCCUGCUUGGUGUCGUGUCCUGCUUGGGGCCGUGUCCUGCUAGGUAUCGUGUCCUGCUUGGUGCCGUGUCCUGCUAGGUGUCGUGUCCUGCUAGGUGUCGUGUCCUGCUUGGUGUCGUGUCCUGCUAGGUGUCGUGUCCUGCUAGGUGUCGUGUCCUGCUUGGUGUCGUGUCCUGCUUGGCGUCGUGUCCUGCUAGGCGUCGUGUCCUGCUUGGUGUCGUGUCCUGCUAGGCGUCGUGUCCUGCUAG